This 114-nucleotide ribosomal RNA is filed under the name uncultured bacterium. Its description in RNAcentral is "partial 16S ribosomal RNA". It matches the Rfam family "Bacterial small subunit ribosomal RNA", at positions 1369 to 1482 of the family's 1533-position model. The record is from RNAcentral.
CGUUCCCCGGGUCUUGUACACACCGCCCGUCACACCAUGGGAGCGGGGUACACCAGAAGUAGGUAGGCUAACCGCAAGGGGCCGUUUACCACGGUGCGCUUCGUGACUGGGGUG